CACAAAAUUCACCAGAUGUUCUUCCAAUGCGUCCUCUGAGUUUCCCCGCCCGUCACCACAUCCCACCUUUUAAGAAGCCACCCAUGACUCUACUGUGGUGUCCGUUGAAGACCUUCCACUCAAGUACUCAAUGCGGAAACAAUUCCCGUUGCCGCUACCUGCGUCACCAUGUGCGAUUGUUUCUCUCUUCCUCCCAUCUCGAAUCUGUUGGCUGCUUCUUCCCUCACUAUUGUGGAGGUCGUGCAGUCUGCUUUGGUGCUUUUUAUCCUCAGAAAACUGCCACCUAAACGUGUAUUCAAUGAUUGUCACCCAAUCAAAUAAUCACAACUAUUGCAGAGCAUGUUGUCAGAUUGCUGAAUAGAUCAGUGUCCAUAAAACCAGUGUGCUACAAAAAACAGUUUCUUGAAGGGGACAUGUUUGGAUCAUACUCUUUUAUACAUUUAGCCCAAGGGAAAGUCGUGUUUUACGGAUAUAGGAUAACAAGUCAAGCCAUUUUAAAACACGUUGAAGGGUUGACUAUAGUUCAGUCUCCACAGAUUUUUAUAGGUCAACAUAGCAGCAGCCUCUAGAGCUUCAGCACAACAUUAAUAUAAGUUGUUAAGAAGGCAGCACUUGAAGAGCUACAAGAGAAACGGGAAGAAGAGGUCCGAUAGAUGUUAUGAAGAAGCUCCCAAAGUAGAAUUAUGAUGGGCUUGUGGGUUUGAGUCAUAUGGUUCUAACCAGGCUGGGUUUAGGUGAAACGGACUGUUUUAGAAAGUGGUCAACUGGUUUGGGUUAGAACGAGUUCGGGUUUGAGUGGGUUCCGGCCAAACUGAAUUAAGGGUCAAAUCUAAGUGUUUUAAAAAGUGGUCAUUUUGGUUUGGGCAGAACGAGUUCAGAGCGUUGGGCAGGGUAACGGGUCGUAGGAGGUUCGGGUCUCAAUGGGUUCCAACCAAAAUUGAGUACGGGUCAAAAGAGGCUGUUUUAAAUUGGGGUCGUUUGGUAUCUCUGUUAUUGUUGUUUCAUUUAAUAACACCUGAUUCAUGAAAGGUGUAUAGUAUAUGAUUAUCCUCUUGAAUUC
Long non-coding RNA from Helianthus annuus (common sunflower), 1060 nucleotides. RefSeq lists it as uncharacterized. The record is from RefSeq and is a predicted model, not a curated record. The transcript has 6 exons. NCBI's taxonomy places the organism in Eukaryota, Viridiplantae, Streptophyta, Magnoliopsida, Asterales, Asteraceae.